AGCAGCCGCCACGGGAAUACGAAGGGUGCAAGCGUUACUCGGAAUUACUGGGCGUAAAGCGUGCGUAGGCGGCUUUUUAAGUCGGAUGUGAAAUCCCUGAGCUUAACUUAGGAAUUGCAUUCGAUACUGGGAAGCUAGAGUAUGGGAGAGGAUGGUAGAAUUCCAGGUGUAGCGGUGAAAUGCGUAGAGAUCUGGAGGAAUACCGAUGGCGAAGGCAGCCAUCUGGCCUAAUACUGACGCUGAGGUACGAAAGCAUGGGGAGCAAACAGGAUUAGAGACCCCAGUAGUCCCUGUCUCUUAUAA
Molecule: ribosomal RNA, 303 nt
Filed under: uncultured bacterium
Lineage: Bacteria
Description: partial 16S ribosomal RNA
Rfam family: Bacterial small subunit ribosomal RNA
Source: RNAcentral